GCCUCAGUAACUGCGAGUGAAGCGGCAAAAGCUCAAAUUUGAAUCUGGCUCCUUCGGGGUCCGAGUUGUGUUUGGAGGGGCAUCUUCGGGGUCGGCGCCCUCCUAAGUUCCUUGGAACAGGACGUCACAGAGGGUGAGAAUCCCGUGCCUGGGCGGCUGCCCGAUUCCAUGUGAAGUGCCUCCGACGAGUCGAGUUGUUUGGGAAUGCAGCUCAAAAUGGGUGGUAAAUUUCAUCUAAAGCUAAAUAUUGGCGAGAGACCGAUAGCGCACAAGUAGAGUGAUCGAAAGAUGAAAAGCACUUUGAAAAGAGAGUUAAACAGUACGUGAAAUUGUUGAAAGGGAAGCGCUUGCGACCAGACUCGGUCUUUGGGGGUCAUCCGGGUUUCGGCCUGGUGCCAUCCCCAUUGAUCGGGCCAGCAUCGGUUCCGGCGGCGGGAUAAAAGGUGAGGGAAUGUGGCUCUCUUCGGGGAGUGUUAUAGCCCUUGCCACAAUGCCGCCAGCUGGGACCGAGGACCGCGCUUCGGCUAGGAUGCUGGCGUAAUGGUCUUAAGCGACCCGUCUUGAAACACGGACCAAGGAGUCUAACAUCUAUGCGAGUGUUCGGGUGGAAAACCCUUGCGCGUAAUGAAAGUGAACGGAGGUGGGAACCCCUCACGGGGUGCACCAUCGACCGGUCCUGAUGUCUUCGGAAGGAUCUGAGUAAGAGCAUAGCUGUUGGGACCCGAAAGAUGGUGAACUAUGCCUGAAUAGGGUGAAGCCAGAGGAAACUCUGGUGGAGGCUCGCAGCGGUUCUGACGUGCAAAUCGAUCGUCAAAUUUGGGUAUAGGGGCGAAAGACUAAUCGAACCAUCUAGUAGCUGGUUCCUGCCGAAG
Molecule: ribosomal RNA, 872 nt
Filed under: uncultured fungus
Lineage: Eukaryota; Fungi
Description: LSU rRNA
Rfam family: Eukaryotic large subunit ribosomal RNA
Source: RNAcentral